UUUGGGAGUCUUCUUCCUCCAUUCAUCGGCUCCCAAUCAGAGUCGGAAAGAGCCCCCUCCGGCUCUAUUUAAGGAGGAGAACCCUCCUCUCUCCCUCUCACCAGAGAAUCUCGGGUCAAUCGGCGGCAAUCGUCGGAAAAAGUGCUGCGAAUACCCUUACUGUGCCCGUCCCAGUUUCUCGUCGGAAAGCCUCGCCGGC
Molecule: long non-coding RNA, 199 nt
Filed under: Elaeis guineensis (African oil palm)
Lineage: Eukaryota; Viridiplantae; Streptophyta; Magnoliopsida; Arecales; Arecaceae
Description: long non-coding RNA (EGUI_LNC006621)
Source: RNAcentral